GAUGAACGCUAGCGGCAGGCUUAAUACAUGCAAGUCGAGGGGCAGCGGGAGUAGCAAUACUUGCCGGCGACCGGCGCACGGGUGCGUAACACGUAUACAAUCUGCCUCUUACUGGAGGAUAGCCCGGAGAAAUUCGGAUUAAUACUCCAUAACAGCUGAAUAGGCAUCUAUUUGGCUUAAAAGCUCCGGCGGUAAGAGAUGAGUAUGCGACUGAUUAGCUAGUUGGUAGUGUAACGGACUACCAAGGCUACGAUCAGUAGGGGAUCUGAGA
This 271-nucleotide ribosomal RNA is filed under the name uncultured bacterium. RNAcentral describes it as "partial 16S ribosomal RNA". It matches the Rfam family "Bacterial small subunit ribosomal RNA", at positions 28 to 297 of the family's 1533-position model. The record is from RNAcentral.